RNAcentral lists this ribosomal RNA (832 nucleotides) under uncultured soil bacterium. Its description in RNAcentral is "bacterial SSU rRNA". It matches the Rfam family "Bacterial small subunit ribosomal RNA", at positions 669 to 1501 of the family's 1533-position model. The record is from RNAcentral.
CCCGGUGUAGCGGUGAAAUGAGUAGAUAUGGGGAGAACACCUGUGGAGAGAGCGGCGCAGUGGACCACAACUGACGAUGAUGCGCGAGAGCUAGGGGAGCAAACAGGAUUAGAUAUCCUAGUAGUCCUAGCCAUAAACGAGGGAUGCUUGGUGUGUCGGGUACCCAAUCCCGACCUUCAGAAGCUAACGUGAUCAGCAUCCCUCGUGAGGAGUACGGUCGCAAGGAUGAUACUCAAAGGAGUUGACGGGGGGCCGCACAAGCGGUGGAGCAUGUGGUUCAAUUCGACGCAACGCGAAGAUCCUUACGUGGGCUCGAAGCGCAGUGGACCGGGGUAGAAAUAUCCCUUUCCGCAAGGACUGCUGCGGAGGUGCUGCAUGGCUGUCGUCAGCUGUGGUCGUGAGAUGUUGGGUUAAGUCCCGCAACGAGCGCAACCCUUAUCCCUAGUUGCCAUCGGGUCAAGCCGGGCACUCUAGUGAAACCGCCCCGGAUAACGGGGAGGAAGGUGGGGAUGACGUCAAGUCUUCAUGGCCUUUAUGUCCAGGGCUACACACGUGUUACAAUGGUCGGUACAAACCGUCGCAAACCCGCGAGGGGGAGCUAAUCGGAAAAAGCCGACCUCAGUUCGGAUUGGAGUUUGCAACUCGACUCCAUGAAGCUGGAAUCGUUAGUAAUCGCAGAUCAGCACGCUGCGGUGAAUACGUUCCCGGGCCUUGUACACACCGCCCGUCACAUCACGAAAGUGAGCUGUACUAGAAGUCGGUGAGCUAACCGCAAGGAGGCAGCCGUCCAAGGUACGGCCCAUGAUUGGGGUGAAGUCGUAACAAGGUAACC